GGUCUGUUGGAGGUGCCCUGCAGGGGGUCUGCUGCUGGUGCCGGGGCAGGAGGCAGGCUCAGUGCCGACAUUCUUCCCGGCACCGGGGCAGAGCGCACACUCAGCACCGCGGCUAUUUUUAGCACGGAGGGGGUCGGUGCCGACGUCCUUGUCGGCACUGGGGCAGAGUGCACAGCCGGCACCACCACUAUGUUUAGCGCUGAGGCGCUCGGUGCCGCGGAAACCUUCCCGGUAUGGAGGUCGGGUUCCUGCCUCUGCAGUCUGCGGGAGCCGCGGCUGAGGCUUUAGGAAGAGCUGUGGCGCUGUCAGCACAGAGGAGACCCGGGAAGAGAAGUAGCACUGCCCCAAGUCCCAUCUUCCGCCGGGGACGGUUGAGAAGGAACUGAGGGAGAUGUGGGACGCAGGCGCGCAGGAAGAUUCCAACAAGACAGGAGAUACCAACUGAGCGCCUGCGUCCCGACCAGGCACUGCUACCGAAAAUCUCCAAUCAACGGCACCGGGACGCACCGACACGUAGAGUGGAGCACCCACAGGGACAGCACUUGAAGAAAAAUUUCAGUUGUGGGGGCGGGGAGGGAGGGGGACUUGGAAUCUUAGGGUGACCAGAUGUCCGGAUUUUUUGGGACAGACCCCAUUUUUGGAUCUUUUUCUUAUAUAGGCUCCUAUUACCCUCCCACUCCUGUCCCGAUUUUUCACACUUGCUGUCUGGUCACCCUAUGGUAUCUUGACAAGAAACUUCUCAAGAACCGUUUUUUGGGGGGGAUCAAAAAUCCAAUUUUCAGAAAAAAAAAGUUUUGACAAAAAAAGUUUGGACAAAAAAAAAAUUUUGACUGGCCCUAGUUUCAAUACUACAUAAUGUGAGUUUGAUGAUGAUUUCCAUAGCAUCAGACAAGAUGCAUGGAUUUAUUUUGUGUGUGUGUACGUAUCUCUCUCUAUUUCUGUAAUUUGCCAAUAAAAGCCACUUUUGUUGGAA
Chelonia mydas (Green sea turtle) is the source of this 973-nucleotide long non-coding RNA. RefSeq lists it as uncharacterized. Lineage: Eukaryota; Metazoa; Chordata; Testudines; Cheloniidae. The record is from RefSeq and is a predicted model, not a curated record. The transcript is spliced from 2 exons.